Symphalangus syndactylus (siamang) is the source of this 3974-nucleotide long non-coding RNA. RefSeq lists it as uncharacterized. Lineage: Eukaryota; Metazoa; Chordata; Mammalia; Primates; Hylobatidae. The record is from RefSeq and is a predicted model, not a curated record.
UGCUUAUAAAACAGCACUUGAAGCGAGGCAGCAGAGGCUACCGGGAAGCGGUGGGCGAUGAGAUUUUAAUGUGUUCCAUGCUGUGAGCCCAUCCUGACUGUCUGAAGAGCUUUGUUCUCAGGCCCCCAAUUAUUCAGUUUCUCAAUCUUCCCCCAUCACAGAAAACACAUCUCAUUUCUCAGACCCAGCCUCAGGCUCCUUUGUGACAACCUUCAUUUUCUGGGCACAGCUUGGUGGCAGCUGGUUUGGGGAGGGAUGUGGAAGGGAGGAGAACAAUGGCUGAGGUUAGAGAGGUGAGUGGCAUCGCACCUGCAGAGUCAGAAGAGCCACACUGAAGUUCCCUUGUGAGGACAAUAUCUGGCUUUUACGUCAAAGGGAUCUUGAUGGCUAUGGCAUCUCAGAACAACAGUCUAAAAAUCCCUCCUACUGAGUUGAAGGAAGCACAGUAAAGUUUUUGGAGAGAGCUGGGGGUCCUAGGGGAAGGAUGUCUAUAAUCUAAUUAUUCGCAAGGAGAUGAGCAUUUUCUAGGAUGGAAGACCAAGCUAUGGGCAUCUGAUUGGGAGUAGACCAGAAUCCUAGAGAAGAUAUUCUUAGUGGCCAUUGAUUGGUCAUUGGUACAGCCAUUGACUUCAAGUUUGACUUGACAAAGGUAGCAGUUUUUUGUCUUUGGUGUCUCUUCCUGUGAAGGUGUCACUUCUCCACAGCCCCACAGGUGCUGCCUUGGCCCAUGCCCCCAUCAUUCCUCCCCUAGACUAGGGUGAGUCCUAACAGCGUCCUGACCUCUGGCUGCAGCCUCAUCUAGCCCUCCUCCCCACAGCCACCACCAUCAGAAUCUUUCCAGAAUGCAAACCUAAUUGUGCAAUACUCUCCUGCUCAAAAAUAUUCCCUAGAUAACAUUUUCAGAAUGCUAGAUCAGCAUACAUAUUCAUCGAAAAAGCACCGAAAAGACAUCUGACCAAAUGUUAACAGCAAUUAUUUUGUGUAGUAGGUUUGCAUAUGAUUGCUUUUUCUUUACACUUUCUUGGUAUUCAAGUUUUCUGCAGUGAGCUUAAGAUAAAUAUUGUUUAUUUUCUAGGCAUGAAAAUAUCAUCCAGAAAAAAUAAAAGAAAUCCUGCACAGAACAAAGUCCAAAUGUCUUAGCUUUGCAUUAAGCCCACCCAGAGCUUCAGCAUAUCUUUUCAUGUUCUUGUUCCACUACAAUUCACAGGUCAGUCACACAAAAGCUGUUUCCUACCAAAAAUGUAGUCCCCUCUCCACCAUCACUACUAUCACUUUCCCUACUGCUUAUACUCCCAUCCUCGCCAUAGCUUUUCUUGCUUAUAAAACUCCUAGUCAUGCACUGAGGGCCACGCAAAUGUACCUUCUCUAGAAACCAUCAUCUCUUUACUCAGCAGUUAUUGUUUUCGCCACUCUGGGCUCGUCAUACCUCUUGCUAAUAUUCUCUGCAUUAGAUUACAAGGGAUGCAAUUAUCCCUUCUCUAAAUGAGGAAACCAAAGCCCGGUAGUAGCCAGCAGGUGAUAUAGCCAGGACCAAUCCUAGGGUGUCUGGCUCUUCAGCCUCUGCUAUUUAACUACUACACAAUAGAGCUUUAAAGCAGUUGCUACUGUCCCAGAAUGUAAACGAGAGCUAUCCCAGUAUGUGAAUUAGCUAUGAGCAUCCUGUGACAUCACUGCAGCUGUUUUACUGUGAUAUGUCCCGCCCUGUUCCCGUCACACAUGUGAGCCCUUUCUUCCCAUGAUAUCGCCUGCCAGUACUGUUGCCCAGCAGAACCCACCAGCACUCACAGUAGCAGACCACAGCAGUUACUGUGAUUGCAAACUUGCCAAGGAGAUAUUGCCUUAAAAGUUGACUUUAGAACAACACUGCUUGAGAUCGUUCCGGUAUUUGCACUCCUCCAUAAACUAUUUCUACAAUAUAUUCACAGAGUAGACAAAGCAAUGCUUUAUUAUUAUCUGGACCUCUGGCCCCAAAUGACUGUGCAGAACUCCACUGAACUGGACUGGACCCCAUGGAGGGCCUGAUUUAUCUCAGCUCUCACCUACAACUCUGAAAUUUGAAUUUCCACUCUGCUCGGACAAGGAGUUGCUCUGAGAUGAAAAACCAGAAACACAGGGCCAAAGAAAGCAAAAUGCUGGAGGUGAAGCUGGUCCAGGCCUCUGGCUCAAGGCUGUCUCAGUGUCCCUAGGUUUAGCUGCCCCAUGAGAAGGCGAUAGUUCACAAAGGGCAGGGAGGUGAUAAAGCCCAUUGUCACCCAAGUCACUGAGGUGGAGGAGGAAGAAGUGACCAGACACCAUGGAGUGACGCAGGCAGAAGCAUUAGGGAGGAGGAUGACCACCUCUUUUGGGGAAGAAGAUUUAAAACCUGGUCUAUCAUCCAUUAUGUUUCACAGAUUUCCCUAAAGGAGGAAAGAACAGGACUGUAGAUUUAGAACCAGGAAAGUACUUUCAUGAUGCCAAGGAUCUGAACUCUUCUAUUGAAAAACAAGUGUGCCCACUCAACAGCCAUAGGCAGCAUCUGUCAGCCACAAUCUAGGCUAAUUUGCAAAAUGAGCCUUGAAAGGAAGGUCUUGGACUUGCUAGAAUCCCAUGAAGCAGGUUGAUGAAGCAGCAAACAAUAUGAAGAUCAAGGGGAAGAGCAUUUGAGACAAAGGGAUCAGCAAACAUAGAAACCCUGACACCAGAACAAGCUCACUAUGUUUGCAGAACAGAAACACCACCACCCCAGCUGCAGACCGAUGAGUGAGAGAGGAGUGGCAGAGGCUGAGUCAGAAAGGAUCUAAAAACACUUUGAAGGCUGCAUAGGACAUUGCAAGAUGAGACACACCACCACACGGACCAGUUCCCCACAGAUCUGCAUCAUUUAAAAAAUGAUCUGUUUGGCAAUCAGCACAUACUUCUCCUGCCUCAUGAACAGAGGGUUCUCAUCGGCAAGAAGUUGAAGCUGUUCAUUUUUAAAGACUUCUCCCUCUCAGCUUGAUUCUGCAUGCUCAAGGUUGUCUGGGGUCCCAAGCAAUCAGAAAUGAUUUGUGUCAAAGAGCGCAUUACAAGAAUCAUUUGUCACUUCUGGUUCGUGUCUGAAUUUGAAGAAUGAUGCUGGGGAGUGAUCUGAAGGCAUGAUGUGAGGUGUUGUUAUGAUGAGUAGCAAAACCAUUAUGUUAACCUUCUUGGGAGCUGAGCUCUGGGGUUCAAUUUUGACAGCGUGUAGCAAGGGCAGAAAUUUCCAGCCCCCACAAUGAGAUGGACUGGGAAGUAUUACGAAUACCUCCCCAUGAGAAUAGCUUAUGAUUAAAUGACAAUCUUCUCAAAAGAAAAUUAGAAUCAAAGUGGCACAAAGCAGCCUGGAAUGAUUUUUGGGGAACAGCUGGUUUAGCCCUUCACCUUACAGAGAAAUAUUGAGGUGCAGAGAGCUUUUGUGACCUUGUGGCCACAAAGUUAACUUUCCUGUUGAUUAGAUAGUGUCUUCAUCUUGCAAAAGCUGACAAGUGGGUUUAGAAUAUUGAUCUCGGAAUUUAGAACACCCAGUUCUAGGCGCAGCUUAUUCUCCAUCUGGCUAUGACUUCUGCAAGACAAUCCACUUCUUUGCAUUUCCAUCUGUCUCCCUGAAAGAAGACAUUGGUGAUUCCCCAGGUCUCCUACAACUCUGAAAUUUUAUGAUUCCGGGCAAUCCAUGGGGCAGACUUUUUAUCCUUAUUUGACAGGUAAGAUAACUAAAUUCCAGAAAUCUGGAAAAGCUUCUCAGACAAGGCCUUUUAUUUGAAUCUUGUGACACAACUAGAUUUCUUUUAAUAGAUAGAGAAGAUGUCAUGGCCCUGUAAGUCAAGAGAACAGGAUGGCCAAAGCAAGAAGAAAAGGGUAGGGCACUUUAAGAAAAUUUCAUAUACUUGAUUAUGGCUACAUAAUAGAAUGUGAGAGACAGGACAGAGGAAGAGCAUACUGAAACACAGCUUAUUUUUUUCCUUUCUUUCUUUCUUUCU